UGAACGCGGCGGCAUGCCUAACACAUGCAAGUCGAACGGCAGCACAGUAAAGAUUUCGGUCUUUAUGGGUGGCGAGUGGCGGACGGGUGAGUAAAGCGUAGGAAUCUGUCCUGGAGCGUGGGAUAACCCGAGGAAACUCGGGCUAAUACCACAUGAUAUCGAGAGAUCAAAAGCAGGGGACCGAAAGGCCUUGCGCUCUGGGGUGAGCCUACGUCGGAUUAGCUAGUUGGUGGGGUAAAAGCCUACCAAGGCGACGAUCCGUAGCUGGUCUGAGAGGAUGACCAGCCACACUGGGACUGAGACACGGCCCAGACUCCUACGGGAGGCAGCAGUGGGGAAUCUUGGACAAUGGGGGAAACCCCUGAUCCAGCGAUGCCGCGUGUGUGAAGAAGGCCUUCGGGUUGUAAAGCACUUUAGGUGGGGAAGAAAGGUAACGAGCGAAU
This 443-nucleotide ribosomal RNA is filed under the name Rickettsiella melolonthae. RNAcentral's name for it is "bacterial SSU rRNA". It matches the Rfam family "Bacterial small subunit ribosomal RNA", at positions 30 to 464 of the family's 1533-position model. The record is from RNAcentral. Lineage: Bacteria; Pseudomonadati; Pseudomonadota; Gammaproteobacteria; Legionellales; Coxiellaceae.